UACGGUAAAUUCAUGCUGAAAAUACUGCUUUUCGUUCGAUCACUGUAGUUAAGCAGCGUCGAGCCUGGUUAGUACCUAGAUGGGUAAACACUUGGGAACACGGGGUACUGUA
Non-coding RNA from Acanthosepion pharaonis, 112 nucleotides. The record is from the annotation of a GenBank genome assembly. Lineage: Eukaryota; Metazoa; Mollusca; Cephalopoda; Sepiida; Sepiidae.